RNAcentral lists this long non-coding RNA (961 nucleotides) under Equus caballus (horse). Its description in RNAcentral is "lncRNA (ENSECAG00000033447.3)". The record is from RNAcentral. Lineage: Eukaryota; Metazoa; Chordata; Mammalia; Perissodactyla; Equidae.
CUUCACCCCACCCCAGAUGCACCCAGAGCCUAUCAAGUGACGUGCAGAAGCCAGGGCCCUUCAUCAUGUUACUAUGGACUUGGCCCAAGAGUUGCAGAAGCCGAAGGAGGAUCCAGAGGAAAGUUGAGCAUUUGCAGGCCCAGCCCCUGCCUCAUGCCAGGGAGGAUGGAUCUUUGACUUUAAAAGAGAAAUUAGAACCCACAGCUGCACAUCUAGGUCUAAAGAUGCUGAAGAAGAUUAAACUGACAUAUCAGAGAGUUCUCUGACUCAUGGAAGAGAGGCAUCUACUCCAAGAAACUAAGCAAAAUUGUUAAUAAGAAUUGAAAAUAUGAAAAAGCUACCUUUCCCUCAGCUUUAUAGAUGUUAAAAAUUUACCUUAUGGUGUCUUAUAAAACAGAACUUUUGCAAUAGUAUUAUGGUGCCAGUAAAGUUGUGGCAUCAUUUUCAGACCAAUCAUUCAGAGUUUAAAGGAAAAGGAACUGAAUAUUUUAUACAUAGAAAAAAUUAUUUUUUUGUGUGUGUGUGGUGAGGAAGAUUGUCCCUGAGCUAACAUCUGUGCCAAUAUUCCUCUAUUUUGUAUGUGGGCCACCACCACAGCGUGACUUGAUGAGUGUUGUGUAGGUGUCCACCUGGGAUCCAAACCCAUGAACCCCGGGCUGCAGAAGUGAAGCACAUGAACUUAACCCCUAUGCCACUGGGCCAGCCCCUGGAAAAGUGAACUUUUAAUGACAAAAAUGGUUCACUACUUCACAGACCAGAAAUGAAAACAUCACUAAAGCAAUAAAGCACUUUACAGGUUAAGUUAUAUUUUGCGUUGAACAGAGACAUGCACACGAUACUUGAAAGCCUAACAAAGCCUUGUAGAGUUGACACUGCUGAAUACCUGUCAAUUUCCAACUAUACAGUUGUUUGUUGAAUUAAAAACUUAACUACAAACAUGAAGACUGAGUUUAUAUCUGCU